This 253-nucleotide ribosomal RNA is filed under the name uncultured bacterium. Its description in RNAcentral is "partial 16S ribosomal RNA". It matches the Rfam family "Bacterial small subunit ribosomal RNA", at positions 524 to 776 of the family's 1533-position model. The record is from RNAcentral.
UACGUAGGUGGCAAGCGUUGUCCGGAUUUAUUGGGUUUAAAGGGUGCGUAGGCGGUCUAUUAAGUCAGUGCUGAAAUAUCCCAGCUUAACUGGGAGGGUGGCAUUGAUACUGAUGGACUUGAGUAAAGUUGAGGUUGGCGGAAUUGACGGUGUAGCGGUGAAAUGCUUAGAUAUCGUCAAGAACACCUAUUGCGAAGGCAGCUAACUAAGCUUUAACUGACGCUGAGGCACGAAAGUGUGGGGAUCAAACAGG